AAACUUUCAACAACGGAUCUCUUGGUUCUGGCAUCGAUGAAGAACGCAGCGAAAUGCGAUAAGUAAUGUGAAUUGCAGAAUUCAGUGAAUCAUCGAAUCUUUGAACGCACAUUGCGCCCCCUGGUAUUCCGGGGGGCAUGCCUGUUCGAGCGUCAUUACAAC
This 162-nucleotide ribosomal RNA is filed under the name Coniosporium sp. MA4567. Its description in RNAcentral is "5.8S ribosomal RNA". It matches the Rfam family "5.8S ribosomal RNA". From Rfam's summary of the family: 5.8S ribosomal RNA (5.8S rRNA) is a component of the large subunit of the eukaryotic ribosome. RNAcentral also lists the same sequence under 1 other name. Lineage: Eukaryota; Fungi; Ascomycota; Dothideomycetes. The record is from RNAcentral.